GUUGCUAGGGGAUAACCUUGCGAAAGCAAGACUAAUACCCUAUGAAGUUCUUCGCAGGCAUCUAAAGAGAACCAAAGAUUUAUCGGCAACGGAUGGGGAUGCGUCUGAUUAGGUUGUUGGCGGGGUAACGGCCCACCAAGCCUACGAUCAGUAGGGGUUCUGAGAGGAAGGUCCCCCACAUUGGAACUGAGACACGGUCCAAACUCCUACGGGAGGCAGCAGUGAGGAAUAUUGGUCAAUGGACGGAAGUCUGAACCAGCCAAGUAGCGUGCAGGACGACGGCCCUAUGGGUUGUAAACUGCUUUUAUGUGGGAAUAAAGUGAGGGACGUGUCCCUUUUUGUAGGUACCACAUGAAUAAGGACCGGCUAAUUCCGUGCCAGCAGCCGCGGUAAUACGGAAGGUCCGGGCGUUAUCCGGAUUUAUUGGGUUUAAAGGGAGCGUAGGCCGUCUUUUAAGCGUGUUGUGAAAUACUGUCGCUCAACGACAGAGGUGCAGCGCGAACUGGGAGACUUGAGUGCGCGGAAUGCAGGCGGAAUUCGUCGUGUAGCGGUGAAAUGCUUAGAUAUGACGAAGAACUCCGAUUGCGAAGGCAGCUUGCAGUAGCGUAACUGACGCUGAAGCUCGAAAGUGUCGGGGUUGUACCGGAUAAGAUG
This 654-nucleotide ribosomal RNA is filed under the name uncultured Bacteroidota bacterium. RNAcentral describes it as "bacterial SSU rRNA". It matches the Rfam family "Bacterial small subunit ribosomal RNA", at positions 132 to 784 of the family's 1533-position model. Lineage: Bacteria; Pseudomonadati; Bacteroidota. The record is from RNAcentral.